This 463-nucleotide long non-coding RNA is filed under the name Physcomitrium patens. RNAcentral's name for it is "long non-coding RNA (PPAT_LNC004766)". Lineage: Eukaryota; Viridiplantae; Streptophyta; Bryopsida; Funariales; Funariaceae. The record is from RNAcentral.
GCACUCGUGGGUUCAAAUGCGAUAGAUACGUUGAUCCAGCUCCAAGUCUAUGGAUUCCGUUUAAGUUGAUUCUAGUGUUGGAGAACGCCAUCCCCGCGCUUGGGUUUGUGUGGAAUCCGAAGCAGUCUGUGCAGCGUGUAACUGAUCGCUGAGUUGCUGCCACUCCAGGUUAAGUGUAGCACAUGCGAGUGAUGAGCCUGCUGCAGCGGUGCCUCAAGCUGAAUAGUAUGAAUGGGACCCACCCAUCCAUCCCUGCUACAGCAACAUCACCUGCAUCGGAAACUGCGUGCUGUUGCGGAUCCCACAACGACGACGGAGAAACCGAGCUCGCGACAUCGUGACGCGGCCAUCGAAGGCGCUCCAGUCGCGUCGCCGCUCAGUAAUACUAAGCACUCUCGUUUUCUGGGUUUUCUACUUUGUAAUAUAUUCUUCUUUAAAUAAAUAAAUAAAUAUAUAUAUAUAU